RNAcentral lists this ribosomal RNA (497 nucleotides) under uncultured bacterium. RNAcentral describes it as "partial 16S ribosomal RNA". It matches the Rfam family "Bacterial small subunit ribosomal RNA", at positions 28 to 507 of the family's 1533-position model. The record is from RNAcentral.
GACGAACGCUGGCGGCGUGCCUAAUACAUGCAAGUUGAGCGCUGAGGCGUGGUGCUUGUACCUACUGGAUGAGCAGCGGACGGGUGAGUAACGCGUGGGUAAUCUGCCUUUGAGCGUGGGACAACAUUUGGAAACGAGUGCUAAUACCGCAUAAAAACUUUAAACACAAGGUUUAAUUGUGAAAGAUGCAAUUGCAUCACUCUAUGAUGAUCCCGCGUUGUAUUAGCUAGUUGGUGAAGUAAAGGCUCACCAAGGCGAUGAUACGUAGCCGACCUGGGAGGGUGAUCGGCCACAAUGGGACUGAGACAACGCCCCAACUCCCAAGGGAGGCAGCAGUAGGGAAUCUUCGGGAAUGGACGAAAGUCUGAACGAGCAACGCCGCGGGAGUGAAGAAGGGUCUCCGAUCGUAAAACUCUGUUGGUAGAGAAGAAAGUUGGUGAGAGUGGAAAGCUCAUGAAGUGACGGUACCUAAUCAGAAAGCGACGGCUAACUACGUG